GAUGAACGCUGGCGGCGUGCCUAAUACAUGCAAGUAGAACGCACAGAUUAUACGGUUGCUUGCUAGACGAUAGCCGCUGAGUUGUGAACGAGUCAGUGACGCCUAGGUAACCUGCCUGGGAGCAGGUGGUAACUCUUGAAAAAAAUAGCUAAUACCGCAUAAUAUUAAUUAUUGCAUGAUAAUUAAUGGAAAGGUGCAAUUGCAUCACUACAAGAUGGCCCUACGUUGUAUUAGCUAGUAGGUGAGGUAACGGCUCACCUAGGCGAAGGUACAUAGCCGACCCGUGAGGGGGGUCGGCCACACUGGGAAUGGGACACGGGCCAGACUCCCACAGGGGGCAGCAGUAGGGGAUCUUUGGCAAUGGGCGAAAGUCCGACCGGGCAACGCCGCGUGAGUGAAGAAAGGUUUCGGAUCGGAAAAAUCUGUUUUAUGAGGAGAAAGGAUGUGAGAGUGGAAAGUUCACAGUGUGACGGUAUCUAACCAGAAAGCCACGGCUAACUACGUG
RNAcentral lists this ribosomal RNA (505 nucleotides) under uncultured bacterium. RNAcentral describes it as "partial 16S ribosomal RNA". It matches the Rfam family "Bacterial small subunit ribosomal RNA", at positions 28 to 507 of the family's 1533-position model. The record is from RNAcentral.